AGGCCGAAGUACAUGAUUCCAUGCUUCCAAGAAAAGCAUCUAGAGAGAGAAGUAGUGCCCGUACCGCAAACCGACACAGGUAGAUGAGGAGAGAAUCCUAAGGCCGGCGGAAGAAUUGCAGUUAAGGAACUAGGCAAAUUGACCCCGUAAGUUCGCGAGAAGGGGUGCCUGCGAGAGCAGGCCGCAGAGAAUAGGCCCAAGCAACUGUAUAGCAAAAACACAGGUCUCUGCUAAAGCGUAAGCUGAUGUAUAGGGGCUGACGCCUGCCCGGUGCUGGAAGGUUAAGGGGAACACUUAGCGCAAGCGAAGGUGUGAACUUAAGCCCCAGUAAACGGCGGCCGUAACAAUAACGGUCCUAAGGUAGCGAAAUUCCUUGUCAGGUAAGUUCUGACCCGCACGAAUGGCGUAAUGACUUGGGCACUGUCUCAACUGCAAAUCCGGCGAAGUUGUAGUGCGAGUGAAGAUGCUCGCUACCCGCGAUUGGACGGAAAGACCCCGUAGAGCUUUACUGUAGCUUAGCAUUGAAUUCCGGUAUUGUCUGUACAGGAUAGGUGGGAGACUGGGAAACUAGGGCGUCAGCCUUAGUGGAGUCAACCUUGGGAUACCACCCUGACAGUACUGGGGUUCUAACAGGACGCCAUGAAUCUGGUGACUGGACAUUGUUAGGUGGGCAGUUUGACUGGGGCGGUCGCCUCCUAAAAAGUAACGGAGGCGCCCAAAGGUUCCCUCAGAACGGUCGGAAAUCGUUCGUAGAGUGCAAAGGCAGAAGGGAGCCUGACUGCGAGACAUACAAGUCGAGCAGGGACGAAAGUCGGGCUUAGUGAUCCGGUGGUACCUCGUGGGAGGGCCAUCGCUCAACGGAUAAAAGCUACCUCGGGGAUAACAGGCUGAUCUCCCCCAAGAGUCCACAUCGACGGGGAGGUUUGGCACCUCGAUGUCGGCUCGUCGCAUCCUGGGGCUGUAGUAGGUCCCAAGGGUUGGGCUGUUCGCCCAUUAAAGCGGCACGCGAGCUGGGUUCAGAACGUCGUGAGACAGUUCGGUCCCUAUCCGUCGCGGGCGUAGGGAAUUUGAGAGGAGCUGUCCUUAGUACGAGAGGACCGGGAUGGACUGACCUCUGGUGCACCAGUUGUUCCGCCAGGAGCAUGGCUGGGUAGCUAAGUCGGGAAGGGAUAAACGCUGAAAGCAUCUAAGCGUGAACCCUCCCUCAAGAUGAGAUUUCCCAUAGCAUAAGCUAGUAAGACCCCUUGAAGAACACAAGGUUGAUAGGUCAGAGGUGUAAGUGCGGUAACGUAUUUAGCUGACUGAUACUAAUAGGUCGAGGGCUUGACCAA
This 1331-nucleotide ribosomal RNA is filed under the name metagenome. RNAcentral's name for it is "bacterial LSU rRNA". It matches the Rfam family "Bacterial large subunit ribosomal RNA", at positions 1582 to 2925 of the family's 2925-position model. The record is from RNAcentral.